Morone saxatilis (striped sea-bass) is the source of this 1947-nucleotide RNA transcript. It is a transcript of the gene named embryonic polyadenylate-binding protein-like, with no coding region annotated. The record is from RefSeq and is a predicted model, not a curated record. Lineage: Eukaryota; Metazoa; Chordata; Actinopteri; Moronidae. The transcript has 15 exons.
AAACAUCUUCAUCAAGAACAUGGAUGAGUCUAUUGACAACAAGGCACUGUAUGACACCUUCUCAGCCUUCGGCAAUAUUUUGUCCUGCAAGGUUGUUUGUGAUGAGAAAGGGUCCAAAGGCUAUGGCUUUGUUCACUUUGAGACUCAUGAGGCUGCGAACCGUGCCAUUGAUACCAUGAAUGGGAUGCUGCUCAACGAUAGGAAAGUUCAAAAGACACGUAAUCAUUUGGAAUCUGGCAUUGUCAACGCAAAGGCCCAUUUCCUGGGAGAAAAAUGUCAGUUGUCCAUUCUUAGCUUUGUCGGCCACUUUAAGUCCCGCAAGGAAAGAGAGGUGGAGUUUGGGACCAAAGCUAUGAAGUUCACCAAUGUCUACAUCAAAAACUUUGGUGAAGACUACACUGAUGAGAAACUCAAGGAACUCUUCACUGCAUUUGGGAGGACUCUCAGUGUGCGGGUGAUGAAGGACGAGAGGGGCCAUUCACGAGGAUUCGGCUUUGUGAACUACGCUAACCACGAGGAUGCUCAGAAGGCAGUUGAUGAAAUGAAUGGAAAGGAGAUCAAUGGGAAAGUCAUCUAUGCAGGUCGUGCUCAGAAGCGGCAGGAGCGCCAAGGAGAGCUCAAGCGCAAGUUUGACCAGAUCAAACAGGACCGGAUCCAGCGCUAUCAGGGGGUGAAUCUGUAUGUGAAGAACUUGGAUGAUAGCAUAGAUGAUGAGAGGCUGCGGAAGGAGUUUGCCCCUUACGGCACCAUCACCAGUGCCAAGGUGAUGACAGACGGUUCCCAAAGCAAGGGCUUUGGCUUCGUCUGUUUCUCUUCACCUGAGGAAGCAACAAAAGCAGUAACUGAAAUGAACGGGAGAAUAGUUGCGACCAAGCCACUGUACGUGGCUCUGGCUCAGCGGAGGGAGGAGCGGAAAGCAAUCCUGACCAAUAAAUACAUGCAGAGACUUGCUACCCUGAGGACCAUGACAAGUCCGAUCAUUGACUCGUACCAGCAGACUGGAUACUACAUGACCGUACCACAGCCUCCCGCUCGCUCCUUCUACAACCACAAUGCUGUCAGCAACAUGAGACCAGUGCCACGUUGGACAGGGCAGCCACCCAGACUACCGGGCCCCUACACAACCCAGUUUGUCGGUAGUUCAGCCCCUAGACGCGGAUCGACCCCGAUCGCCACUGUCAGACAGGCUUCCACCCAGGCUCCGCGCAUCGUGAGCUCCACACAAAAGACAAAUAACAUUGGGACCCAGACUGUAGGAGGGCGUACUGACGUGCCUGGUGUGACAAGGGGCGGCCAGUACAAGUACUCAUCUGCAGUGAGAAACGUCCAGCAGGUCAUUACUAUACCUGGACCAAUGACGAGACUACAGGUUGUUCCAGCACCUAUGAUGGAGCCACCGGUGCACAUUCAAAGCCAAGAGCCACUCACUGCCUCGAUGUUGGCUGCAGCUCCACUCAUGGAUCAGAAACAGCUUCUCGGAGAGCGGUUGUACCCACUGAUCCAUACCCUUCACCCAAACCUGGCUGGAAAAAUCACUGGGAUGCUGCUGGAGAUCGACAACUCUGAGCUGCUGCACAUGCUGGAGACGCCAGAGUCCCUGCACUCUAAGGUGGACGAGGCGAUCGCUGUCCUGCAGGCUCACCAGGUGAAGGAAUGCUCUCCGAAGAAGUGAAGAGCCCUUUCAGGUCAGAAACAACUUCUCCUCCUCUGUUGAGAGACAGCUGUGAAAGGAUCCCUUACAGCAAAUGUCAACGACUUUCUGGAGGAGGGAAAAAAAUGAAAAAAAAAAAAGUAAAAAUUUUGAAAAAGAGAGAGAGAAAAAAAAACUAAAGAAAAAAUGUUCUAUGUAGAUUGAAUUGACAGUAAAGAGAGAUUUGUGAAGUUAAAACUAUUUUGUUGAUGCAAUACCUUUUGUUAGAAGAUAAAGUUUACAGUAUAUGCAUUAAA